CCUACGGGUGGCUGCAGUGAGGAAUAUUUGUCAAUGGACGAGAGUCUGAACCAGCCAAGUAGCGUGAAUGAUGACUGCCCUAUGGGUUGUAAACUUCUUUUAUAUGGGAAUAAAACGAGGCACGUGUUCCUUUUUGUAUGUACUUUAUGAAUAAGGAUCGGCUAACUCCGUGCCAGCAGCCGCGGUAAUACGGAGGAUCCGAGCGUUAUCCGGAUUUAUUGGGUUUAAAGGGAGCGUAGAUGGGUUGUUAAGUCAGUGGUGAAAGUUUGCGGCUCAACCGUAAAAUUGCAGUUGAAACUGGCAGUCUUGAGUACAGUAGAGGUGGGCGGAAUUCGUGGUGUAGCGGUGAAAUGCUUAGAUAUCACGAAGAACUCCGAUUGCGAAGGCAGCUCACUAGACUGCAACUGACACUGAGGCUCGAAAGUGUGGGGAUCAAACAGGAUUAGAUACCCGAGUAGUC
This 460-nucleotide ribosomal RNA is filed under the name uncultured bacterium. RNAcentral's name for it is "partial 16S ribosomal RNA". It matches the Rfam family "Bacterial small subunit ribosomal RNA", at positions 338 to 795 of the family's 1533-position model. The record is from RNAcentral.